RNAcentral lists this long non-coding RNA (15735 nucleotides) under Manihot esculenta (cassava). RNAcentral describes it as "long non-coding RNA (MESC_LNC000466)". The record is from RNAcentral. Lineage: Eukaryota; Viridiplantae; Streptophyta; Magnoliopsida; Malpighiales; Euphorbiaceae.
AACUGGAUUCCCUAACCCAACAUGCACCAAACCUCCUAGUACAUCAACACAAGCUCCUAGCUUAAGCGCAUUGAUUGGACAAGUUGGUUGAGUAGUAGGUGGAGUAUUACCACCACCACCACCUCCUCCUCCUCCCCCUCCUCCUCCUCCGCCGCCUCCGCCUCCCCCUCCGCCACCACCUCCAUAAGGUGGGCCACCAGUGUAUGGUGGGUAGCCUGAAGAAGGUGGUGGUGUUACUGGGGGUGUUAUAAUCACAGGAGGAUUUGUUACUGGAGGGGAUAUUACAGGGGGAGGAUUAACGAUUAUUGGUGGUAGUACUACUGGUGGCAUUGGUGGGUUGUAGCCUCCAUGGUGAGGUGGGUUGCCUCCAUGAUGGGGUGGGUACUUGGUGCUUGGUGGUUUGGGGUGGGGAACUUUUGGGGGAGUUGGGUGGUGUGUCGGCGGUGGAUGUGGCUGAGUACAAGGAACGCAAGCAUAAAUGGGUGGCAAUGAUAUGCCCAUGAAAACAAUGAAGAUGAAGAACAUGGCUGCAACCUUAGAAGCCAUGACUUCCCUUGGAAGUUGCUAAAUUUUCUUGGGUGUUUUGAUGGUGUUGAACUUAGUAUUAUAUAGCUGAAUUUUAUAAGCCACCCGUGAGCAGUUCUCUAGGAUAUGGAAACUAAAACUGAGACUAUUGUCACCAAUUGUACAGAAACAGGAACAUUGUGAGAAACUCCAAGGGAUCUAAGGUGAAGUUAAACAGAAAAAUUUGGAUUCCCAUUGGCCCUUCGCAAACUCCUAUGUCUAUCCGUGACUGGCUCACAGUUCAAUCCGUGAAUUGUUUAACCAGUCAGUCUGCUGGCAGAUAACUCUUACAUCCCUUUUUUUAAGUGCUAUAUAUUAAGCCCCAUGCUUUUUUCUUUAGGACAACUAUAUAUGUCUAGCCUUAAUGGGUUAUUUUCUCUUAUUUUCUUGUAAGUGGUCUGCCCUUUGAGAAGGAUAUAGCAUGAAAAUGAACUAUAGUUUUGGACUUUUACAGGCAGACACAUAAAUGGGCAUUAUUGUUUUUGGUCCGUUCUCUAAUAUUUCUGUUGGCGGAGGCAUGGGAGGAUUCCUUGUGGUAUGCUGGUAUUUGAUCUGGUAGAAGGGGGGUUUUAGGGCUUGCAUUUUGCAGUGCACAGCAUGCAUUAUAUUUGAGUUCGUUUCACGAAGUAGACAUGUGAACAUGUCUGAAUAUUUUUUGUUUUCUUGCAUUAAACACGUCAGUAUUGAGUAGCUGCUACAGCAUUCCUAUGUGACAUUAUUUGGUAAUUCUUGGAAUGAACUAAGUUUCUGUACACCUUACUAAUUUACAAACGAAUUUAUCAAUUUAUAAAUUUAAAUUUUUUAAUAGAAUGUACNNNNNNNNNNNNNNNNNNNNNNNNNNNNNNNNNNNNNNNNNNNNNNNNNNNNNNNNNNNNNNNNNNNNNNNNNNNNNNNNNNNNNNNNNNNNNNNNNNNNNNNNNNNNNNNNNNNNNNNNNNNNNNNNNNNNNNNNNNNNNNNNNNNNNNNNNNNNNNNNNNNNNNNNNNNNNNNNNNNNNNNNNNNNNNNNNNNNNNNNNNNNNNNNNNNNNNNNNNNNNNNNNNNNNNNNNNNNNNNNNNNNNNNNNNNNNNNNNNNNNNNNNNNNNNNNNNNNNNNNNNNNNNNNNNNNNNNNNNNNNNNNNNNNNNNNNNNNNNNNNNNNNNNNNNNNNNNNNNNNNNNNNNNNNNNNNNNNNNNNNNNNNNNNNNNNNNNNNNNNNNNNNNNNNNNNNNNNNNNNNNNNNNNNNNNNNNNNNNNNNNNNNNNNNNNNNNNNNNNNNNNNNNNNNNNNNNNNNNNNNNNNNNNNNNNNNNNNNNNNNNNNNNNNNNNNNNNNNNNNNNNNNNNNNNNNNNNNNNNNNNNNNNNNNNNNNNNNNNNNNNNNNNNNNNNNNNNNNNNNNNNNNNNNNNNNNNNNNNNNNNNNNNNNNNNNNNNNNNNNNUAGGGUCUGUUAUAAAAUAUAAAACAAGACAUCAAGCUAAUUAAUCAGAUCAUUUGGAACAUAAAAAUAUACAAUCCAUUGAAUAAAAUAAAUUUCAAAUUUAAUUAGAUAAUUAAUUUCAAAUUCAGUAUCCAACUCAUACAACUUUCGAUUUUUCCGUCUAAAAGAAUAGCCAACAAAGAGAUGCCGGCAAUUUCUACUAGCAAAUUUCUUUUUUAUCUCUUUGUAGGUUAUGGGCAUGACAUAAGCGAUCAAAAACUCGAAGGUGAUUGUAAGAAGAAGCUUACCUGAAGAGAAUUUCAUAUGGAGUUUUGCCAUGCAUUAAUUCAAAUGGAGUUCUGUUGAUUAAAUAUCUAGUUGUUAGUACAUAUUCAUCCCAAAAUUCUAUGGACAAGUUUGCUUGAAAACACAAGACCCUUGUCACAUUUAGAAUAUAUCGAUGUUUUCUCUCCACUCGACUAUUUUGUUAGGAUGUUUCGACACAAGAGGUCUAAUGCAAUAUUUCAAAGUUUUCAAAGUAUUGUUUUAAACAUACAAAUUUACUUCCGUUAUCACUUCUAACGACUUUCACAUUUUUGUCAAAUUGACAUUUGAUUACGGCUAUAAAUUUCUUAAGAACACAUGUCAUGUCACUUUUGUAAUUGAGCAAAUAAAUCCAUACAGCACGUAAACAAUCAUCAACUAUGAUUAGAAAAUAAAGUGCUCCACAAAAGGCGAGAAUUGUAUAAGAUCCCCACAAGUCAUAGUGUAUCAAAUCAAAACAUUUUGUUGCUUUAUUAUUACUAGAAAAGGAAAUCUCUCUCGUUUGUUUUGCUCGAAAAUAAAUUUCACAAGUUUUAUUAGUUUGUCUAUCCAAUCUAUUAGUUCCUGCAAUCAAGUCUGUCAUCUUAAAUGACGGAUGUCCCAUUCUUUUAUGCCAAAACUUAAAAGUUCCUCCACUACUCAGUUUGCAAGCAUGAACUGAAGUGAGAAAGUAAAGCCCCUUUCUUUUCUCUCUCACUCUAAUCAGAAUCCUCGAAUUUGGAUCCUGUAUAGCACAUAUUUUUUUAGUAAGUUGAAUAACCAAAUUUGAAUUAUUAAGAAGCUGAGAGACACAAAUCAAAUUGCAUUUCAGCUUUGAAACAAAAAGAACUCAUCGUAAUUUUAAAUUCCUGCCAAGCAACAUGGUUCCUUCUUUGACUACCAUGAUUUUCUCUCUAUUAGGUAAUCCGACGGAGUAUGGUGCAAUGUCAUGUAAAUCACUUAAAAAACCCUUAGUUCUUGUCAUAUGAUGGGAGGCUUCUGUGUCAAUAAUCCAAGGAAAUUUUCUUUGGUUACCUGCUAACCUCUCAUUGGUAUUUUGAUGAGAGUUUAACAUGCCUAGCAGAGCAUGCCAUUUCUCGUCAUUAAACCCGUUCAGCCCCUUUCAAUAUGCAUCCGUCAUUGCUUCUCGUCCAGUAUCAACUGUAGCUGCUUGCACUGCGUGAGCACGGAUAUCACUUCCUUUGUUAUAUCCUCUUCCAGUGCCACGCUUUUGAGUAUUGCCACGCACACUUGAGUUUCUAUGAGGCCGAGCACCCCACCAUUCUGGGUAGCCUAUUAACUGAAAACAACUUUCAAUGUUAUGACCCUUUUGAUUGCAAUGAGAUCAAAUAGAAGUUUUAUUUUUAUCUUCUCUUGAAUUCUGACCAUUGGCCUAAAUUGUGAAGCUUAUGGGGUUAUCCCGUUCAUCUUCGCUUCUCGUCAUAAUUCUCACUCGCUCUUGCUGAACUACCAUAGCAUAAGCAUGAUUCAAAUUAGGCAAAAGAUCAGUGCUCAAGAUAUGGGACCGCACGAUACUGUAACCUUCUUCAUCCAAGCCCAUUAGAAACUGAUGAACUCUUUCUUCUUCACGCUUUCGCUCCAUUUCAACGGCAAGAUUGCAUUUGUAGCAUGCAUAUGCACACACUAGUAUCUAAUUAUAGUUAUUAAUCUCAUCCUACAAGGUUUUGAGUUUACAUAGGACAUAAUGGAUUGACCAUCCUGCCUAUAGUUUGUCAAAUCAGAUCUCAACUGCUGCAUUUAUGGUCCAUUUUCAAUUGAGAAUCUAUGCUUAAUAAUAUCUUCCCAAAGAUAAUUCACCAUUUUGGGGUGAGAGAUAGUUGAUCGAAGUAUUGGAUUAACGGUGUUAAAUACCCAGAAAACUAACAUAGAGUUAACUGUCCACCAAUUUUUGAGUUCGGGUGCAUCGUUCUCUGGUUGUUUGAUGGAUCUAUCGAUAAAGCCGUAUUUCUUUUGGCUCUCAACGUAGUCCACAUGGCCUUGCUCAUUCUUCGUAGUUCUCUCUUUUUAACUGUCUUUGUGUAAUCAAUUUACUUGGGUUGCCAGUAGAAUUUAGUGUAUAAGGAUUGAAAGAAUUUUUCAUUGUUCCUAAAUUCUCCCCGUGUUUCUUUUCAACCUUCAUGGCUCUGAUAUUAUGUAUAAACGGAGAAUCGGACAAUUUGAAAAUGGAAGUUCUUGCUCUUUCAUUGACAGCAAUGUGACAAUAUAUACACCAAGUUUACCCCUAUUUAGGAAAAUCUAAGAAUAUAAAAUUUUCUAUACAGUACAAGCCAAAUUUUCUAUGUUGUACAACUUAAACUUCCUAUACUGCACAAGACAAAAAAAGAAAGAAAAUAUAUUUACACACAAAUCAAGUCUUAAACCGCUAGGUCGACAGAUCGUCAAGACGUCAGACAGGUAGGAACGGGUCGAUAGGUCGUCAAGACGUCAGACAGAUCAGUACAGUUUGAUAGGUCAUUAAGACGUCAGAUAGGUCGAUGUAGGUUAUUAAGAGAUUGGAUACUCAACGUAUGAUCUGACACUGGUUUUUGCCUGCCUGCCUUCCUUCCCUUUGGUCAUCACUCGCUUAACAUACUAUAUAUAGACAGGCCAAUGCUCGAUCAUUCCUUUCGUGGACCUUCACCGACUCCUCCUAUUCCAUCAAUGAAGCCUGUGUCAUGGUUUCCUGACGUUGCCGCAAGCUAUCACGUAAAUCCAGACCUUACAACUUUACCAUUGCCACCAAAUAUAAGGAAAUUAACGGAUCAACUUCAUAUACGUAAUGAGCUAGGUGUUCAGAUUUCACAUAUUGGUGUUGCAUCACUUCAUUCUCUUACUGCUUUUUUUAAAAAAUAAAAAAUAAAAAAAAGAAUAAUGUUCUGCUUUUCCCGCAUAUGAUAAAAAAAUAUAUUCUCUUUGUUUAAAAUUUCACUUACUAUAAUAGCCGUUUCUUUGAAUUCUGGUCUACCUAUUUUCUUGUCAAAGGAUCGUAUUGUCAAAAAUGUACUAUUUUGAAAUAUAAAAAAAAAUAGUGACAAAUGCAUAAAUUUAACUGAAUAGUCCAAUUUAAAUAAUAAAAAUAAUUGUAUUCACAUACUUAAUCUGAUAGUAAGUAUAUUUGAAUAAAUUUGAGAGAUUUCAAAUUUUAUUUUUCAAUCUCCAAUCUCCAAUUCUUAUUUCAAAAAAAAUUAUAAAAAUAAUUAUUUGCUGAUUUUGCUGUUGAUGUUGUUUUAUAAAACUUUUACAUAAUUAUAAAUUUAUUUUAAAAAAUAAUAAUAAAUACAGUUUAGUAUCAUCUAAGAUAAAAGUUUCAUAUAAAAAAGCAUGAAAUUAUUGAAAUAACAUAAUAAUAUAGAUAGACCUUUUAGUACUAAAAUUGAAUUUUUUUUUUACCCAAAUUUAAGUGGCAUAACCCAUUACCCAUGAAACCACAUUUUUAUAUAUUUAUAAUUUAUUUGUUCCUCAAUUUAAAUAGUUUAAUCUAUUGACUAUUAAUAUCAUUUUUUAUUUAAAAUUUAUUUUUUAAAUUUAAAUCUUUUAUGCAUUAACCAAGAAACCCGUAUUAAAACUUUUUUUUUUUUCAUAAUUUCAAGUAGUCUAAUUAUCAUACCCAAAACUCAUUUUUUUAAAAUUUAAAAUUUAUUUUUCUUAAAUUAGAUAAUUUAACCUAUUGUUUCAAUCAAAUUCUUUUAAAUAGAUUUGUAACAAAAUGAGUUUAAUAAUAAAAUUCAAUCACCUCUUCUAUGGGAAAAGAAUAAUGAUACAAUAGAAAACUUAAUUUUUAUGCAUAUUAAAGGACGAGAAAUUUUGAGAUAAAGACAAGAUAAGGUCACCUCUGGAAUUCUUGAUGUUGACAAUGUUCAAAGUAUAGAGACAAAAAUGGAUUAUUAUUAAAAAUUGAAAAAUAGUUAUUUUAUAAAAAUUAUGUAUAAUUUUAAAAAAUUUCUUAAUUAAUACCUUUAAUUAAAAAAAAAAAAAAACCUUUCACCAUACAACUUAAUUAAAAUGUUUGAACAUAUAUUAUUAAAAUAAAGACAAAAUGAAUAGCUUUUUUCUAAAAACAAAUAUAAUUUUAUUACUUUAUGUUAAAUUCAAUUAUCCUUGGAAUUGAAUAUGCCGAUACAAAUGCCAAUUUGGAAGAAAAAUUCUAUCCAUGAAAGAAAAAUUACCAUUAGAAAAUUAUUGCUUAAAUUCUUACGGCAUGAGCCAACAAAAUGGGAAAAAACAAAUCCAAGAAACUGAAACAUACAACAUGAAAUGAUAAACUAGAAAUAAGCAGAGACAGAAUGCAUUUAUGCACACUUGAAUCCUUCAGGAACCUUCUUCCCACAGUAGUUAAGCAACAAGCUCAAGUUCACAGGAAGGUUUAAGUUAAUGCCCAGGACACUGGCUUUGAUUGUAGUGCAAAGGCAAACAGCGGCUUCCAGAUCAACAAGAUUGCCGAUAAGGCUGCAGCAAGGAGUCUUAGGUGGGGUUCCAACUGUAACACUCAACAAAUCUUUCAACAGAGCGACACAAACGCCCAACUUUAAGGUGUCCUUUGGGCAACGACCCGUAAUUGGUGUUGGCGAUGGCUUGAUUGGUUGAGUUGCAUCAUGGCCUUUUGGGUUUGGUGGUGGGCAAUAGGUAGAGCUCGCCAAAGUGAAGAAGAGGAGAUUGAAGGUGAGGAGAAGGGCAGCGGAGGCUGGAGCUCUUGAAGCCAUGUCUCCAAGGAUUCUUGAUAUGAGCUUUUCUUUUUUUAGCUUCAAGAGACUGAUGGACAUGGUGAAGUGCUUUAAGGGCUAUAUAUAGAUGGAGAGACUAUAAUUAAGCACUGAUAUGAUGAAUUUUUUAAAAACAUUGAACAUGACUCGUGUCUGCAUAGUAUUCCUGGCACCAGAUCAUAAUGAAUAAUCAUCUUAAUAAUAUUCUUGAAAUCUACUUUCGGCCACAGUAGAUCGAUCUAUGGAGGCACAACCUGGCAAUGCAGGUUGCAGAGUUUGGAGUUUUCCCUAUUGGUUAGUUGGAAAUUCUCUUCUUCACAUGCCAAUUAUAAACUUGAUUGCACAAGUUCUUUUUCACAUCUUCAGUUUUCAUCUGCUGGUUGACGUUUUCUAGAAUUCUAGCUCUUUUUGGUGCAUGGAAAUAUCGUUUGUUCCUCAAUUUUAAACAGUUUAUCUUGCAGUAUGGCAGCCUUUGCAGAUAGGAACUGGGAAUAACGAAAUCCAAAAUGAACUUUUUUUUUUAUUGAAAUGGACCAAAAUGAACUAUUUACCAUGCUUCUAAACUCGAGAGAUCCGCAUUUGUCUGUAAAUUGAAAAUCAUUGAAUUAUUAUUUAUCCAAUAUACUUAAUUCGACUCAUAUGGUCCGUUUUUUUUUUCUUUGAAAAAAGCUACAUAAUGUAAUAGAUUUUAUAUUUUCUUUUAUGAAAUACAAUCGAUUUUAAAUUAAAAAAAUUAUAAAUACAUCGAAUUUAUAUAAAAAAUGAGUGAUUUUCGCAUUUACUUUUAGUCUAAUGUUAAAAUACUUAAAAUUUUUAUACGCCCACUUUCUAACCAGUAAAAAUCGAUAUAAUUAGAAAAAUCGUCAGAAUUCCACGUGAAUCUAGAUAUAAUGAAUAAUGAAUAUGUAUAGCUUGUUAAAUUUUAAAAUGUUAAAAUAUGAAAUAGAGGAUUGAUGUUGAAUUAUAAUAUAUUUAUAUUAAUAUUCCGAUUAAAAGAUUAUAUAUACCCCAAUCAAAAUACAUCCGUUAAUAUAUAAUUUAUAUAUUAUUUUUUAAAAUUAUAAAAAAUUAUAAUCUAUUUUCACUAGAUUUUAAAAUUGAUUAAACGAAAGAAAGGAUAAUACUAAAAAAUGUAAACAGUUAGAGUAGAUCACAAAAUAAAAUUUAUAAUAUUAAAAAUAUGAGGAGAAUACAAUUUAAUUAGUGAGCGGAUAAAUAAAUAAUAAAAAAAAAUAGAUAAAAUUUUAAUACAUAAUAAUUUAAAUAAAUAUAAUUUAAUUCAAUUAAUAUAAAUUAAACUGAAUAAAAAUUGCUAAGAUAUCUCUGCUGGAAUAAUGAAUCUAAAAUUAUAAAUGUGAUAAAUAAAAUUCGCAUAUACUCGUAACAUGCAAUCUGCUCGCUGAUAAUGUUGGCAUCUAUAAAAUAAAAUAAUAACAAUUUGAGAGCAAUAUAAUCAUCUUAGACUCUAUGAUUCAAUAUUAAUCCGAAAGUAAAUAAAAUAUUGGUUAUACACAUGUUUAGAGUUAUUCAAGAGAUGACGACCUGACCCUAAAGGAUGUGUAUAUAUCAAGUACUGUCCUAAAAAUAGUAUAAAUAUAUGCUAAACACACCCAAAUAAUAUGUGUAUAUCAAGCGUUGUUUCAAAGAAAGAUCAUAUAAAUAUAUGCUAAGUCGAAAAUAAAUUACAUGUCAUUGGGGUGUUAUUUGUUUGGUGCAUAUACAGAUUUAGCGUGUAAUCAAUCACAUGUCAUUGGACUGUUAUCUAUUUAUUAAAUUUUAUUUUCAUUAAUUUAAAAAAUACGAAUUCAUUUUAUCUAUUUUUAUUUUAAAUAAAUAAAAAUAUUUAUCCACUCCAAACAAAAUAAGUUUAAAUAUUCUCACUCCUAUUAUUUAUACAUUUUCUCGUAAAAUUAAAAAUAAUAUAUUAAGAAUAAAUAAAUAUUCAAAACAAAAAUAUAAAAUAUGAAAUACAAAUUCAAAUAUUAAAUAUAUAUAUUUUUUAAAAAAAAUUCAGCCGUAUUCGGUAUAACUAAAUUUCUUACAAUUACAUAGUCUAAAAAAUAUUUAAUAAAUUAUAAAUAUUAUUUAAAUUAACUUAUAAAAAUUAUUAAUUCUACAAAUAGAAUCUCAUUAAUUUAAUAUAACUAAAAUUUAUCUUUUUUAAUUUUUAAAUCACAAAAAUUAUUGUAUAAGGGUCGAGAAAAUAAAUUAAAUAGUAACAAUAUAAAUAUAAGAGAUAAAACUUACCCAUUAGUUUUGCGGAAGAAAUUAUUGAAUUUACUGUUAGAAUAUUAGUUCAAAUAAGAAUAUAAUUGAGAAUUUUAAAAGUUUAUGAAGGUUGAGGGUAAAAAAUUUAAAUUAAAAAUGAAUUGUUUUUUUUUUUAAUAACAGAUAGAGGUUCCGUUUCUUCUUCGUGAAAAAAGAAAAGGGCUUUGAUUUGGAGAAGGUUCUUGAAAUCAGAACUCUUUUUCUUUUCUUUUUGAUGACCGCCAGACUUCCUCUACCCUGAACGAGGUCGGGCUCAAGAGGAGAACAAUGGCCCAAAACCCAUCAAACCCUCCUUAAGCAAGACCGACCCAGUGUCUCAAGCCUCAACCCGGACGUGCGGGGUAGGCCGGGUCCACCAUGAGCCCGGGUCUAAUGAGAAGAAGUCCAACCCAGUGAAGUGAUGUGAGAAAGAAUAGUAUGUCCAAUCACCUUGCAGCCCUGUCCGUAUGCGCGCCGAAGAGAAUUAAAUGGCUGCCUGACAUGGAGAGGAGUCCUGACACAUCCGUAUAUACGGAGCUGAGUGACAGAGAUAGCUAGCAUUGUAGCAGAGAGGCAGAGAUACAUGACGAGCAGACAAAAAGAGGGGGUUCUUCUCUUCUUCCUUCUUCUUCCUGAACUACAUUUUUCUUUAUUUUUCUUUCUGCAAUUCUUGCCUAUCCAUACUACUCUAGUUCAUAAAAUCUGACUUGAACGUCGGAGGGUCUCCACCGGGGCAUCCCCGGUAGACCCCUGACCAUCUUUCUUCAUUUUGCAGAUUUCUUCUUCGAAUCAAGUAUGGAGGGACCCAUAUGAUGGACCAAAAAGAAAACCAAAUCUAUCAAAUGGAGCAGAAGGAAGACCAGAUUCAUCAAUUGGCGCCGUCUGUGGGGACGAAAGAGAUUUUACUAUUUCUAAAGUUCCUAAAGUCACCCAUUGAGAUCCACAUGAAGGUAUGAAAGUUUGUGCGAAAAAGAAGCUGGAGAUUUACAAUAACCCAGCUGAAAGGAAAGAUUCAGCUGGUUCAAGAAUAUUUUGAUAGUCUUUCAGAUAGUUUAUUUUAAUGUUUAUUAAAUUUUAUUACUACUAACUUUUUCUUUGAAACCUAGUGAAGUGAGACUUUAGAUCAAAAUACUUAUCUAUGACUAUAAAAUUUUAAUCUUUUCUAUAAAAAGAAAAAAGAAUGAGUGACGUAUAUAUUUGUUGAAAUUGUGAGGUCGGUUGUACAUAUGUUGUAAAGGUUAAAUGAGCAGGUCGGCUAUAAGUUCCCAAGUUAGCAAGUUAGAGAGAAAAUUAAUAAAUAAAUAAAUAAAGGAUCUGCGAGAAAAAAUAAAGCAGGUUGGGUAGAUUGGACAGCUCUCUGACUAGACAACAAAUAGGUGUCGUACUGCACAACAAAGAAUGAAAAAUAGGUCAGCGGAAGAACUCAGGUGAAAAGUCGGUUGGUUGGAAUAACAAGAUCGGAAAAAGCUUGAGCUGCCAAAGAUGCAUCGACCUGAGGAGGAAAUCACUGAUCUGGUUGAACUCCAACAAGUGAGGUCGGCGCGAUGCUGAAAUGGACCACUUGUCAAUGCAGAUAGUUGGACAUGAUGGAGCCAACACCACAUGUCUGCGAAUGAGGAAACCACAACCUUCAAGAGUUCAAACAGACACCACCACCAGAUGAUCAACUUUCGAGUGAGAAGGCUCCAGUAGAUCACACUCAACAGGUCGGAGAAAGAGCCCAGACAGGUCGAUAAAAAAAAAAAGAAAACGACUUCAGCGAACCAACGAAAGGUCCCCAGUAAACAUCACGAGCCCGACUGGACAUUGAACAACUUGAAUAAAUCAGGAUUAUACUUAAUAGUGGAUGGACUCACGCUUGAGAUUGAACACGAGAAGUCGAAUAGAUGUAUGCCUGAGGUCGGAGUCAUAUUUGAAGUCGGUCUCGCAUUCCUGGUCGAAUGGCCGUACUGUCCUCAAGAUUCAAAUUAAUAAGUCGGCUGGAUUGGGUGAGUUGGGAAAAUGGAUUGGACGGCUGGUCGAAGUAGCAGGACUGAAAAGAGCUCGGCAAAUCCAAUAAUCACCGUGUUGUAAGUGAAAGCACGUCGGCUUAAGAAGGAAUCACUGGUUGAAUUUUACUAAAGUCAACAACUUUGUUAAGAGAUUACACAUUAAAGUCGGACCCGUGCUCAAAAUUAGAUCCGUGCUCGAGAUCGAAGCCCUGUUUGAGGUCGGACUCACAUUUCAGGUCGGAUAGGAUGAUGUUGUAGAGCAGCCAGGGCGCGAUUCAUAGCCAUCCAACUUGGUCGGACAACAGCGCCCCUCAAGUAUCGGUGCGAUAGGGAGACGACAAGAAAUUAUCAAAUACCCAAGCUGAUCGAGGAAGGAUUCAGGUUGUACCUGUUGGCCGACUUGAAGACGAGUGAAAUUGGAGUGCGGCCACCACCUGGGCUCGCUGAAGUUGAGCGAGUCGUGCAGCAUGCUAGCCAACUUGGGAAUUACAUGUCCAAAUCGACAAACAGACGAGCUUGUUAAGGCUGAGAGGACUCUCCUGUGGAGAAAGACCCAAUGGCCAUGCAGGUCUGCAUUUGCUCAGUUAGAAGGAAAGAGGUAAGAAAAGCUUUAUUUACAAAAUAAACUAUUAGUUUGGUUGCCAACACAUCCUUUGAAAUACUGGUGUUGUUAUCUCCUGAAAAUAAAAAUAAUAAUAAUAUAUAUAAUUUUAUUACGUAAAAUAUUCCUCGACUGUUAUAGUGAAAGGAGAAAAUUAAAAACAAUAAUUAAUUAUCUUGUUUACAUUAAUAGGGAGACCAUCAUAAUUUGUCAAGUAAAAUAAUUCUAACUUAUUUACCUCCAAUGCCAUUGACCCAUUAUUAUCAUCAUUGAAAGGGCAACCUAGGCAUUUUGUCAUGAUCACAACAUUGCCAUCAAAUUAUAAAUAAGCAAAAUAGAACUUAAAUUUCAAAAUUGCCUCUUGCUGUGUAUACUUAUUAUUUUACUUUAGAAUUUCAAGACUGUUUUUAGUUACUGACAAUUGUCUUUGAUUAAUUAUUAUUGAAUAUAAAGGAUUUUAUAGAUUAUUAAAAGAUAUGCUUUGCAUGUAAAUAAUAAUGCUAAAUUUAAUUAAAAGUAUACUUCUCUGAGUUUAGAUAUCUUGAUAAUUGCUUACAUAACAUUAAAAUUCAAGUAUUGUCAUGACAAUUUUAUUAUUAAUGUUAGUAUAUACAUUCCUAAGAAAAAGAUAAUAUAUUUUAUGGAUUGAAAAACUUUGGAGAAAUUUACACAUGCAAAAUAUUAUUUAUUGAAUCUCUAAAUUGCAUGAGUUAAUAUUGUUAGUUAGAGAUAAUAUUUACAUUCAUCUGAAAUAUGAAACUAAGUGACAUGUGCGACAUAUUAUUUAUUGAUGAAUAUUAUUGAAUUAACAACGAGCAUUCUCGUUAUAUACGCUGCGUGCAAGCCUUAUUUUGCAGAAAAAAUUCUGAAUCUUGCGCAAGACCUCAGUGAGGUAGGUGACCGGUCUCUGAAAAUAACCCCCGGCACCACAAAACCGGCUGAGAUGACGAAGCGACAGUAAGGCCAAUGAGCCUGAAUCCCAUGCAAGGCUAAAGAGUCUGGAAGCGACAGUAAGGCUUAAGAGCCUGAAUCUUGCGCAAGACCUCAUUGAGGUAGGUGACCGGCCUCGGAAAAUGACCCCCGGCACCACAAAACCGGCUGAGAUGAUGAAGCGACAGUAAGGCCAAUGAGCCUGAAUCCCAUGCAAGGCUAAAGAGCCUGGAAGCGACAGUAAGGCCUAAGAGCCUGAAUCUUGCGCAAGACCUCAGUGAGGUAGGUGAUCGGCCUCGAAAAAUGACCCCUGGCACCACAAAACUGGCUGAGAUGACGAAGCGACAGUAAGGCUAAUGAGCCUAAAUCCCAUGCAAGGCUAAAUAGCGUGGAAGAGACAGUAAGGCCUAAAGGCUUGAAUCUUGAGCAAGCCCUCAGUGAGGUAGGUGACUGGCCUCGGAAAAUCAACGCCAGCACCACAAAACCGAGCUGAGAGGAUGAAGGGAACUAUUCUUUUACCUUUUAUUAAAAAAAUAUCAUAUGCUCACAGCAAACAGCGGUAUACGAUGACAACAAGCAAAAAUAACUCAUAAGAACACAGUUCCGACCUCACAUAAAAGAUUGGGGCACUGAACCAGAAUGAAAAGUUAAACUCCGACCUCCCAAAGGAGCUCGAGUCAUAAGGUAAAGAGACUUUGAUCUCACACAAUAGCCAAAGGCACCAAAAUGCCAUGCCGAUCUCAAGAAAAUGAGCUCGAUACUGGUAAAUCCAAUAGACAAACCAAAUUAAGGCGAGGCGAAUCCUAAGUAAAACACAUACCAAGAUAGAGAACCAAACAAAGAACCAUGGGCAAUCAUAAGAGGUACUGACCUCGAGAAUUGACCACUGGCACUAAACCAGCUUAGCUAGCCUAAAGAGAGGUCUAAGAAGCAAAGAGCCCGAAGAACGCUCGAGGGUAGACAGCCCAGAAAAUACUCGGGGGCAAAAAACCAACUAACUGAGACAUAUCCAAGAACUAAAUGAUAAGAUAAAGAAUCAAGAAGACAGGAGCAAUGUAAAAGGCCGAAUAAACCAUUCUAAAUGACCGGAUGGGACAGCAGAAAGCCCUAACUCAUUAGGAUACAAAAGAAUCGAACCGCAGUAUGGUCAAGUCCAAAACAGAUAGUUCGACCUCUUCAAUCCAGGGCCGAUCUCCCCAGAAGCUUGGAAGGGCCUUAUGUCUGUACCGACAAGGCUAUAAGCCUAUAAAAGAAAAGUUAAAGCCAAACAAACAAGCAGUCAGACUGAAACACAGCUCGUAUAAGGCUCGACAAGAAAGCAAGAAAUUAAGUCUGACUUCACAAAAGAGCUCGGGGCACCAAAGUGAAGAAAGCAAAAUUCCGAACUCCUGAGCUCGUAGCACAGGCAGCAUCAUAGGCUAUAGGCAUAAAAGCCUAAGCAAAGAACAAAAAUCCGAGCUCCUUAAUCCGCAAUACGGACGGACUCACGACAAGUAAACAACCAAGCUAAAUAAAGCUAAGUAUAGAAGAUAUACCAAAGAGCCGAGCUCCCUAUAUGAAAAGGCCUGCAAAUGUAGAAACACACAAAAGGAUAAACGAAAGCGAGGGGCCGUGCUCACAGCUCGGAUUAACUCACAGUAAACAAACACUUAGUAAAGAUGACCUAGGAAGAGGAAAACAACAAAAGGCCAAGCUCCCUAUCCCGGUGGAGCACACAGCUCAGACCGCACUGACUGCUAGAAGGUUACAUCUAGAGGGACAAGAUGUCCGAGCUCGUAACAAGAACAAUAUUUAAAAUCGUCUAAUGCGGGGCAUUUAUGCAAAUAAGACAUUUCUUUAGGUAUUAUAUAUCCGAGCUCGCAGCAUUGACGAUGUUACAUUCUCUGGGCCCACAACAGUAGAUAUUGUCCGUUUUGGGUUUGAGGGCCUUGGCCCAGCCUUCCCCUCACGGUUUUGUUUCUGAGGGUUCACGCAAGCGUCCUUCCCCUCAAAACGCGUCUACUGUGGUCUCUUGGGGCUUGCCCUUAUAAGGCGUCCCCCCUCCUUACCUCUUUCCGAUGUGGGAUACUUUCAAUCCACAGACGAGGUCAUAAGCUAAAAAUAGAAAUGCCCUCAUGAAAAUAAGAAAAAUUCGCAAGUCAGAAGCUUAGCUAGACGCCGAGCUCUUAGCCCGGGUCAGUUCGACUAGCAAAGUCCCAGUAGAGAUAGCCUGGUCCAUCAAUUAAGUAAAAUUGACAAAGGCAGAAGACAGUCUGAGUAAAAAAAAAUAAUAAUAAUAAUAAUGAGGUACAGGCCGAAGUGAAAUAUCAUUCAUCAUCAAAUACAUAUCUCCAAAUCGCCAUACAUUCAAACAUCAAAGUAAAUAAAUAAAGAAAUAAAAGGGCAAGGAAAGGACGCUUUUGACAAGAGCAGUUCUCGGUCCACGUGGUCAUAAAUGGAGUCUAGAGAUUUACCCCCUCGUCAUUCAUGUAAUAACUGCCGAUGAGGUAAAGGGGCAAUUGAUGACCGCCGGGCUUCCUCUACCCUGGGCGAGGUCAGGCCCAAGAGGAGAACAAUGGCCCAAAAUCCAUCAAGCCCUUCUUAAGCAAGACCGACCCAACGUUUCAAGCCUCGACCCGGACGCGCGGAGUAGGCCGGGUCCACCAUGAGCCCGGGUCCAAUGAGAAGAAGUCCAACCCAGUGAAGUGAUGUGAGAAAGAAUAGUAUGCCCAAUCACCUCGCAGCCUUGUCUGCAUGCACGCCGGAGAGAAUUAAAUGGCCGUCUGGCAUGGAAAGGAGUCCUGACACAUCCGUACGUACGGAGCUGAGUGACAGAGAUAGCUAGUAUUGUAGCAGAGAGGCAGAGAUACAUGACAAGCAGACAAAAAGAUGGGGUUCUUCUCUUCUUCUCUUCUUCCUUCUUCUUCCUGAACUCCAUUUUUCUUUAUUUUUCUCUCUGCAAUUCUUGCCUAUCCAUACUACACUAGUUCAUAAAAUUUGACUUGAACGUCAGAGAGUCUCCACC